CUGCAUACAAAGUUGUCUAUUUGCCUUCUGUUUGUAAGUAACAGUUUAAGAUUAAUUGUACAUGUGAACUGAGAUAGUUCAUUGGAGUAAAUUUAUUUCAUCUAUUUUUAUUCUGUAAUGUGCUUCAUGACCGUUCUAUCUGAACAGCUCCCAAACAUUAUUUUUCAUCUAUACCCUGUUGAACAGUACAAAAUAUUCCUAUUGUUAAUGUCGUGAAGGCCAGCUGGGGAAAAAAAAUGGACGUGGUAAAUUAACUGAGGUGUUGUUGUGAUGUAUGGUGCAAUAUAAUGCCACCAAAGUGGAAAAUUGUGCAUAUUUUUUUAUAGUCCUAAUGACAGGCGCUUCACAAGGUGCGAUUACAGAUACCAGCGUUGUUACUAUGUAUUUUGGUGUCGCAAGCUGACGUUUUAUAUAGAGACAAUUAUACUUUCCUUUCCAGGAGCAACUUAAACUUAACUGGAACAGGGUGCCUGUCCAGAAGAGACUCUCUUCAGCAGCCCAGUGGAAGAGGGGUGGCACAUCCUGUAGCCUGCAUGACUGAUGAUAAAUGUGGACCAAACAAAGCAUUGCAGGACUUCCCCAUCACUGGCGCCACAUUCUGCACGAGACAAUACCUGAAAUAUUAUAAAAGGGGAUACUGUUAGAAGGUUUACACCUAAAUUUGUGUUUAUUUAUGUUUUUGUCAUUUAUAAUAUUAAAACUUUUAUAUGAAGUACACUGUUUUAAAGCUGAGCAAGGAUUUAAUUUUGUGCAAGCUACAAGACAACAGUUACUCCUAACGCUAUGUUUUUCGUAACUCGCAGGCGGGCGUCCCAAGUCCAGG
This 823-nucleotide long non-coding RNA is filed under the name Struthio camelus australis. RNAcentral describes it as "lncRNA (ENSSCUG00000010803.1)". The record is from RNAcentral. Lineage: Eukaryota; Metazoa; Chordata; Aves; Struthioniformes; Struthionidae.